Molecule: ribosomal RNA, 253 nt
Filed under: uncultured bacterium
Lineage: Bacteria
Description: partial 16S ribosomal RNA
Rfam family: Bacterial small subunit ribosomal RNA
Source: RNAcentral
UACGUAGGGGGCAAGCGUUGUCCGGAAUCAUUGGGCGUAAAGCGCGUGUAGGCGGUCCGGUAAGUCCGCUGUGAAAGUCGGGGGCUCAACCCUCGGAUGCCGGUGGAUACUGUCGGGCCUGAGUACGGAAGAGGCGAGUGGAAUUCCUGGUGUAGCGGUGAAAUGCGCAGAUAUCAGGAGGAACACCAAUUGCGAAGGCAGCUCGCUGGGACGUUACUGACGCUGAGACGCGAAAGCGUGGGGAGCAAACAGG